This 261-nucleotide ribosomal RNA is filed under the name uncultured prokaryote. Its description in RNAcentral is "partial 16S ribosomal RNA". It matches the Rfam family "Bacterial small subunit ribosomal RNA", at positions 524 to 784 of the family's 1533-position model. The record is from RNAcentral.
UACGUAGGGUGCGAGCGUUGUCCUGAAUUAUUGGGCGUAAAGAGCUUGUAGGCGGUUUGUCGCGUCUGCUGUGAAAAUCCGGGGCUCAACCCCGGACUUGCAGUGGGUACGGGCAGACUAGAGUGUGGUAGGGGAGACUGGAAUUCCUGGUGUAGCGGUGAAAUGCGCAGAUAUCAGGAGGAACACCGAUGGCGAAGGCAGGUCUCUGGGCCACUACUGACGCUGAGAAGCGAAAGCAUGGGGAGCGAACAGGAUUAGAUA